GACUACAGGGGUAUCUAAUCCCAUUCGCUACCCACGCUUUCGCUGCUCAGUGUCAGGAGUGUGCCAAUCUAAUGCCUUCGCCUUUGGUGUUCCUCAUGAUAUCAACGCAUUUCACUGCUACACCAUGAGUUCCAUAGAUCUCUCACACCCUCUAGUUAUACCGUUUCAAAUGCAGUUUUCGAGUUGAGCUCGAAGAUUUGACAUCUGACUAAUAUAACAACCUACCAGCUCUUUACGCCCAAUAAAUCCGGAUAACGCUUGAGGUCUCUGUAUUACCGCUACUGCUGGCACAGAGUUAGUAACCUCUUAUUCGUAAGGUACCGUCAUCGAAAUUCUUCCCUUACAAAAGCAGUUUACAACCCAAGGGCCUUCAUCCUGCACGCGGCGUCGCUCCAUCAGACUUUCGUCCAUUGUGGAAUAUUCUCGACUGCAGCCCCCCGUAGG
RNAcentral lists this ribosomal RNA (444 nucleotides) under uncultured bacterium. RNAcentral describes it as "partial 16S ribosomal RNA". The record is from RNAcentral.